GAGUAAUGAUGUUUUAUCCUAUUCCAUUACUGAAAUUCACUGUGGAAAAAAAUAAGCUGAACUC
This is a small nucleolar RNA of Zootoca vivipara (common lizard), 64 nucleotides long. RefSeq annotates it as small nucleolar RNA SNORD98. The record is from RefSeq and is a predicted model, not a curated record. Lineage: Eukaryota; Metazoa; Chordata; Lepidosauria; Squamata; Lacertidae.